Thamnophis elegans (Western terrestrial garter snake) is the source of this 588-nucleotide long non-coding RNA. RefSeq lists it as uncharacterized. The transcript has 3 exons. NCBI's taxonomy places the organism in Eukaryota, Metazoa, Chordata, Lepidosauria, Squamata, Natricidae. The record is from RefSeq and is a predicted model, not a curated record.
UUCUGCGCGCUGGGGCGGGAGCGUGGAAGGGGGGAGGGAGAAGGGGAAGGACCCCCCUCCCAGCUCCCUUGUAAGGCAGGCCUUCAACUCCGGACUUUUUAAUUUAAUUUUAAUUGUUUGAAAUUUAUCCGGGGAGGGGAAAAAAGCUGAGAAAACACGCGGGAGGUUGGCACCAGCGCUUCUGUGCCUUUCCUUUUUCUCCUUCUUGUUCCUGCAAAGGAUGUGGAACCUUUUCUCCAGCCUCCAAAAAAAACAACAACAACGCAUAUAAAACCGAGGGAGAAGACUAGAGGAAUUUCCUCUGGAACAAUCCGGUUGAUACCAUGGAAGCGCGACUGGCAUCCCUUGAAGUAAAAGAAGAAGGAAAAACCCACAAGAAAGUGAAUCUACACCAUCCCAAAAUCCCAACUCAACUACCCCAGUCCCAGGAAACUAGUAACUCUGCGAGUAACAUGUCCAUUCUCGUCAACGAACAGAAGCAUCCCAAUGCUAUCUUAUUUGGAUUGGAGGACACCAACUAAUCUUAUAUAUAUAAAUAAAGGAGGAGAACCUGUGGCUUAGUGGCUAACACAACUGCCUGAUAUGUAA